Molecule: ribosomal RNA, 695 nt
Filed under: Pseudomonas sp.
Lineage: Bacteria; Pseudomonadati; Pseudomonadota; Gammaproteobacteria; Pseudomonadales; Pseudomonadaceae
Description: bacterial SSU rRNA
Rfam family: Bacterial small subunit ribosomal RNA
Source: RNAcentral
CCCUUUACUCCUACGGGAGGCAGCAGUGGGGAAUAUUGGACAAUGGGCGAAAGCCUGAUCCAGCCAUGCCGCGUGUGUGAAGAAGGUCUUCGGAUUGUAAAGCACUUUAAGUUGGGAGGAAGGGUUGUAGAUUAAUACUCUGCAAUUUUGACGUUACCGACAGAAUAAGCACCGGCUAACUCUGUGCCAGCAGCCGCGGUAAUACAGAGGGUGCAAGCGUUAAUCGGAAUUACUGGGCGUAAAGCGCGCGUAGGUGGUUCGUUAAGUUGGAUGUGAAAUCCCCGGGCUCAACCUGGGAACUGCAUCCAAAACUGGCGAGCUAGAGUAUGGUAGAGGGUGGUGGAAUUUCCUGUGUAGCGGUGAAAUGCGUAGAUAUAGGAAGGAACCACCAGUGGCGAAGGCGACCACCUGGACUGAUACUGACACUGAGGUGCGAAAGCGUGGGGAGCAAACAGGAUUAGAUACCCUGGUAGUCCACGCCGUAAACGAUGUCAACUAGCCGUUGGGAGCCUUGAGCUCUUAGUGGCGCAGCUAACGCAUUAAGUUGACCGCCUGGGGAGUACGGCCGCAAGGUUAAAACUCAAAUGAAUUGACGGGGGCCCGCACAAGCGGUGGAGCAUGUGGUUUAAUUUGAAGCAACGCGAAGAACCUUACCAGGCCUUGACAUCCAAUGAACUUCCAGAGAUGGAUGGGCC